RNAcentral lists this ribosomal RNA (825 nucleotides) under Triticum aestivum (bread wheat). RNAcentral describes it as "partial small subunit ribosomal RNA". Lineage: Eukaryota; Viridiplantae; Streptophyta; Magnoliopsida; Poales; Poaceae. The record is from RNAcentral.
AUGUGUGUCCCGAAGAAGAAGGGAGGCAUGGGGUUUAGAGACCUUCACAGUUUUAACCUUGUUAUAUUAGCAAAACAGUGUUGGCGACUUCUCCAAAAUCCCGACUCUUUGUGUGCACGUGUUCUGAGUGCAAAAUAUUAUCCUAAUGGCGAUAUCCUCAAAGCUGGUCCAAAGAAAGGCUCAUCUUUUACUUGGCAAAGUAUUGUUGCUGGGAUACAAACUUUCAAAAGGGGUUGCAUCUGGCGAGUGGGCACUGGUUCCCAGAUUAACAUUUGGGAGGACCCUUGGAUCCCUUCUAGCGAAACCAGGAAGCUUAUUACCCCUAGAGGAGGAAUUAUGUUAACAAAGGUGGAAGAUAUAAUCGACCCCCACACGGGACAGUGGGAUGAGGCACUAUUGCAUAGCGUGUUCUCACCAGUGGAUGUGCACAGAAUACUUCAAAUCCCCCUCCAUGUUGAAACUAUGGAAGAUUUUGUGGCGUGGCAUUAUACGAGAUCUGGAACUUUCUCAGUUCGUUCGGCAUACCAUGUGGAGUUCGAUCAGUACGGACGUCAUUACGCAAGCUUGAAUAGCCCAGGGAGUGCUUAGUUGAAUGCAGUUUGGAAAGAAUUAUGGCAACUUCGCCUUCCAGGGAAGAUCAAACAUUUUGGCUGGAAAGUAUUAAAGGGGGUAUUACCAUGUUACGGUGUUCUCGCAGGCAGACAUGUACCCUUGAUCCCGCAAUGCCCAUUGUGCAAAAUUGGUCUAGAGGAUAUCCAGCACUGUCUAUUUACGUGUAUCCGUGCAUCUGAAGUGUGGACUGCUCUAGGACUAUCGGAGGUGAUU